Molecule: long non-coding RNA, 5564 nt
Organism: Cheilinus undulatus (humphead wrasse)
Lineage: Eukaryota; Metazoa; Chordata; Actinopteri; Labriformes; Labridae
Exons: 8
Source: RefSeq, a predicted model, not a curated record
ACCACAAGUCAAGAGGGGUCUCCUUACCCCUGGUGAACAUGUGUCUGUGGUUCAGUUUGCCAUUCUUAUCACUGUUUAAGUUUUUACUUUUUUUUUUUUACAUCUGUUGUAGCUUCUUGACGUUUACUGCUCCUUGGAUGUUUCUUCCUCGUUAAACCGUCACUUUUGGAGGAAGCAGGAAUGAGUCGCCCUAUUUUGAAGCUGCUGGGGUUAUUACGGCUAUGACGUCAAAAUCUUCUGCUCCUCUACUACCACUGUGAGCAACAAAUGGUCGUGGAGAACAGCAUGUGUCAUUAGAUCCACCCCGGAGUACAACCAGGAGUUGGCCAGAAGAAAGUUACGGCUCUCUGCAGACAGAUGGGACUCCAUGCUUUCCUACGGGAGCUGGUCCACCGAGGAAACUGAACACCCCCAACGGACAGGCUAUCACCACACAACGACGUUGUUUCAGAUUUGAGCUUUGAAGGAUGGAUUUGCCUCAUGACAGACAUGGAUUCUGGCAGAUCAAUCUGCUAUGCAUGGAUCAGCGCUGCAGGUUCCCUAGCUAAUGCCCUGUGAGAAAGAGACACUGCGGUCCAGGGUGGAGUAAUCACACUUCUAGGAGUGAUUCUCAGCAGGGGGGACCUGGAUGUUGUCCAUCCAUUCUGGACACACCUGAACUCAGCAAGGGAGCCAGCGCCACACCUCGUCUCACCAGGUAGAAAGAGGGAAGUGGACUCCACCGAAAACAGUGGGACUCUAAUUCACAGCUUUACUGUUUCUCCGCCCAGAGCCUGUGAAAUUGCAUGUUGAUGCACCUACUGACAGAUCAUUGCCUUAUGUGCUUGUUACCAGUGUAGGACGGCCAACAAACACUUUAAAACCUGAAACAAUAGGAAGGAGAUGACUGGAGUGUGAUGGUGCCACUUCACCCAACCUGCCAAAGUGUGUCUUCACACCUCGUGUUCCAGCACCUGACCAAACCUUCGCCCUGGGCCAUUGGUGCCACACCAAACCAUCGACAUUCCUUCAUGACUUAUGAGUGCAGUGGUAAGAGAUGGAGAUCUAAUGUGAAGAGGAAACCCUAAUGUCACUUUAUGAUGCAAGACUCUACAUACUAGCAUCUUAUUAUUGUCAAAGUGAUACGUGUUUUGGAACAUUGCAAACAGGAACAUUUGGUGCAUUUACAUGCAAUAAGAAAAAGAUAAUUAUGUUUUUUUAAUUCUCUUUGUAAAUGUUUAUCUGACUCACACCAACAGUAUGGUCUGUCCUCUUUGUGAAGUGACUUGAGACCACAUUGGUUCUGGAGUGGGGCUAUAUGAAUAAAGACUAAUUGAGUCAUUGACCUGGAAGUCGAACAGCAUAAACGCACAGGAGAGCAGAAUUGUACCAGUUGUCUGUCAUCAUGUGUCACCAUUGGCAUGAGGGACAGUGUGCAUUGUAUUAAUCCCAAAUAGAAAUUAAAAAAAAACAUACAAAAUUAACUUUACUGUUUGACAUACAAUUGUAAACUGGAAGUCAAAAUGGCCUUAAUGAUUUUAUACCAUAGCUCCACUUGACCAUGCUUGUAAAUACACUUAUCGUGCUAUGCCUCACAUUUCUGGGAGCCAAUUUCCACCAUUUAAAUUUUUUAAAAAGGGGGGGAGUGGAGGAUUGAGAUAAGGUAUUUAUUAAAUAUCUAAAAUCUUAAGUCAAAUCUAUGGGAUAAAGAGUCCCAACAAUGAGAUUAAAAGUCAAAUUUAUAAGAUAAAAUGUCAAUAUUAUGAGAAAAAAGGUACGAUUAUGGGAGAAAAAAAGCAAUAUUAUGAGAUUAAAGAGUCAAGAUUAUUAGAAAAAUAGAAUUUGUGAGAUGAAAGUCAUAAUUAUUAGAUAAAACAUCAAAAUUAUGAUAAUUAGCUGAAAAUAUGAGAAAUGAAGUCAAUAUCAUAAAAUUUAAAAAAUCAAGGUUAUAAAUCAUUUUUUGACACAAAGGUCAAAUUGUCAUAUAAAACGCCAUGAACUUAAAAUAAAGACUCAAACUUAUGUGAUAAAAGUCAUAACCAUGAGAUAAAAUGUCAAAAAUAAUAGAAAUAGUUGAAUUAUGACAUAAAAAGUCAAAUUCAUGAAAUAAAAGUCAAGAUAAUUACAUAAAAAGUCAAUUGUAGGACAAAAAACUCAAACUGUUAGAUAUAAAAGUCAUAAUUAUGACAUAAAAGUCAAAUUAUGAGAGGGAAAAAAACAUAAUUAUGGAAUAAAAUCUCUUGAGAUCAGUCAUAGUUAUGACUUUUAUCUUUGAGAUAAAAGUCAUAACUAUGAGAUAAAAUGUCACAAAAAAUUAGAAAAAGUCAAAUUUUUGAUGAAAAAGUCAAAUCCAUGAAAUAAAAACUCAAGAUUUUAACAUGAAAAGUAAAUUUUAUGAGAAAAGGUCAAAUUGUCAGAUAAAGAAUUAAAAUAAUGAGAUACAAAUUAUAAUUAUGCAUCUGAGUAUGAGCUAUAAGGUCCAAGGUAUGAAAUAAAAAUCAAAAUUUUGAGAUAAAAAGUCAAAUUAUGACGGUCAUAAUUAUGAAAUAAAUCUAAAUUAUGGAAUAAGAGAUGUAAUUUUGACUUUAAUCUUAAUUAUGGUUUACUAUUCAAUAAUUUUGACUUUUUUAUUGUAUUUCAGUGUAUUAUUAUGACCUUUUAUGACAUAGUUUCACUUUUAUCUUAUAGUUUUUGACUUUUCAUUUCAUAAUUAUUACUUACUUUCUCAUCAUUUCAACUUAAGACUUUUUUUUCAUCAAUACUUCAUUAACUUUAAUAUUUUUUAUUUUCUUUACUAAGAGGUGAAACUGAGCUUCUGUACAUAUUCAACCAAAACAACAAUAAGCACAAAAAAAAAGAAUCUGUUUUCACAUUGCUUCUUGUCCAUGUUUACUUAGAAAAGCUGGUUCAUAAGAGUUUUUUUCAGUUGUAUCUAACACUUAACAAAUCAAUACUAAUUGGAUGGAUUCAAAGGUGUCUUCUGCAGUCAUAAAAAGCGUGAUUGCAUGCAUGCAUGUGUUUGCUGUGGCUUGCACAGGCAUGUUGUGGUGUGAUGCAUUCACGUGCGCCUCUGCGUGAACCCUCCCAGUCUUUAGCAGCCUUCCUUCACCUGAUGCUCUACCUGUCUCAUGCAGCGGGAGAGGAGUCACACUGAGGAAUGCCUGUUGCCAUUUAAGCUCCAUUACUACCUGCUGCUGCCCUAUUCUCCCUGCCCUCUAUUGCCUGGGGUUCAUAUUGGAUAAGAGCCGUAAAGCCCCACGUUUCAUGGGGCUGGGCCGGGUGUAAUUGGAGGGAGGCAGGCCCCUCAUUCCCAGCACCGUGGGGGGCUACAAUCACAGGCUUGCCCUAGCCUUUGGGCCGCUCCACCAGGAGCUAAAGAGGGUCUAAAGAGGGCACCGCAGGGGACGAUAUCAAACACCCCCAGAGUCCUGGGAUAACAGCAAAUAACACUGCAGGAGAGAGAACACACACACCAGCAGCACACAGUCACAGCCACUCUGUCUGUCAGGACUUGUUUAUUGCACUGAAUAAUGCAUUGUGCUCUGUAACGCAGCAUGCAGAAAAAGGUGUUUUGGUGGGACAGGCAUUCGGAAAUUAAAGGGUCCCGUCUGAGAAGUUUGUUUAUGCUGCUGAUUUAUGGUUCUGUGGAAGUUAAAAAACAGAGUAAGCAAGAAAUCAAGAUAUUUAUAACACAAAACAUACCUAUUAUGUAUAUUUUAAUUAGAACAAUGCUAACUUGGUUUUUAUGAAUGUGAGGCACAUUAACACUGUGCAUGUUCCUGAAUAUUAAUUUUCACCAUCUAAUAUAAAGUUACUAAACUUUUUCAGCUCAAGACUGAAGUUAGAAUUCUCCCCAGGAACCAAACUUCCAAAAAAUAUAUCAUUUAUCACUAAAAGUGUGUAUACUAGAGUAGAACAAACAAAUAAAGAAUUCUAAGCUGUUUUAUUUUAAGUUUUGGACCUGUAUAACUCAUUUUCUUAGGCUUUUUUUGAUGUAUUUUGGGCACUGCCACUAAUAAUAAGAUUAUUUUGACAAGUGAAUUAAUCUGUGUACUAUUUAAUAUUUGGUUUAAAAAAAAGAAAUACAAAAAGAGUAACCAAAUUUGUGAGAAAGCCAGUGAAAUUAGUGGAAAAAGUAAACUACAGUAUUCGUAGGUGACUCAGGUGACUAUUAAACUAAAAAAAAACUUUCUCAAGAAAUGUUUCUUUUUUUAUUUUGUAUGCCGGUUUUGAGCAAACACGAUCUCACUUCCUGUACAAAUACAAACUGACAUCUGCAGGUUCCUUUUUUAGCUUUUAUAAUAAAAGUCAGUGUACAGGUUUAAUAACCCCUGAUGAGGCGCUUAGAUCUUACAAUUUUUUUUGUAUCGUAAAAUAAAUUAAAAUUAAAAUUGAAAAAAAUUAAAAACAUAAAAUUGUUUGGAUUUGAUGCUUUUUAUUUAAUUCAUUAUUUUUCUUUUUUUAAUUUUGAAGCUUUCAUUACUGAGCCUAUAACCACAGUUCGUACUAUGGGGGAGCUACAAGAGAGUUUGCCCCCCCUGGAAGGAGCACAAGCUCACCUGAUAGCCUCAAAUGAGGCAUUUAAGAGGAGCUCUAAAAAGUUGUCAUCAUUUAUUUAUUUAUUUGAAUUUAUUUAACAAGGAGAAUCUCACUAAGGUCAAGAAUCUCAUUACAGAGCGCCCUGGCCGAGGCAGCAUCACAUUUAUCAGACUUAUAGACAUGAAACAUAAAAACUAUUAUAAGCACAAAUCAGACAAAUCCAUGUGACAGAGCAAUAAGUCAUCAGUUAAAACAUCUACAACCCGAUCCAUCAUCCUCCAACACCUGCAAUCUGCUUUUUAAAAGAGACCAGCUCUCCCAUUCUACUGUAGGAGAGUCCAGGCAGCAGGGGCAGCACCUUUUACCUGUUUCAUGGUGGAUUUUGGGCACAGAUAGCAAAAGUGAAUUUUUUUACUGUGUCACAGAGAGAAGACAGUAACUUCCAGAACUUGUCACAUUAAUCUAAUCACACAAGUAUGAUGGAGAUUUAGAAUAGGCUUAAAAAUAAGGAUACGUCAGUGUGUUUGUCUAAAAAUGUACUUUUUAGAGGAAACUUAAAUAAAAUGUCAUUUUUUCCUUUCAGAAUGCUAACUGUUCAGGAUUCCCCAUACAUAAUACACUGUUUUUGUACAGAAAAUCCUGCAGAUAGGAGGUUUUGCACUUUGGUCAUCGAUAUGUGGUUAAAGAAGGUCAUCCAACUCGAUCAUACAUGUGGUGUUUUACUUUGUACAUUUUGAUUUAUUUUGGUAACUUCCGGUUUCCGGAGUCACUCCUGCUGGCCGCUAACUUUUCUUUGUGUUCCCUGAGGCAAUCUCCCCUCCCCCUCCCCGGGUGCUGUGGAGAGAUCACACCUGCAGCGAGUUCUCAUCAAGAGGGACUACUUAAGAUCGGCUGCAGCUCUCCACCAGCGCCUGAGUUUUGACUACCUUCCCUCGCGUGCCUCACUCCCCGCUCACUGCAGCCAGCUCCAGCACUCUCUCUCACUCCGGACUCUUGGACUCUCAUUCCCUGAUUGUUUACCUGUGCAAAUAAAACUGUUAAAACUG